GGCGCGUAGCUCAGCGGGAGAGCACUACGUUGACAUCGUAGGGGUCACAGGUUCGAUCCCUGUCGCGCCCACCA
This 74-nucleotide transfer RNA is filed under the name Stutzerimonas stutzeri. RNAcentral describes it as "Pseudomonas stutzeri tRNA-Val". It matches the Rfam family "tRNA". Rfam says of the family: Transfer RNA (tRNA) molecules are approximately 80 nucleotides in length. Their secondary structure includes four short double-helical elements and three loops (D, anti-codon, and T loops). Lineage: Bacteria; Pseudomonadati; Pseudomonadota; Gammaproteobacteria; Pseudomonadales; Pseudomonadaceae. The record is from RNAcentral. RNAcentral also lists the same sequence under 1 other name.